Molecule: non-coding RNA, 142 nt
Organism: Tirmania nivea
Lineage: Eukaryota; Fungi; Ascomycota; Pezizomycetes; Pezizales; Pezizaceae
Source: the annotation of a GenBank genome assembly
GCCCAGCUCAGUUGGUAAAGCACUGCAGUACAAGACCCCGUCCUUCAUGUGUACAGUACAUUCCAAGAUAGGGAGGACACGGCGAGAGGACACAAGGGGGAGGGUGGUUGCGGGAUCGCAGGUUCAAAUCCUGCAUUGGGCG